CCCUUAGAUGUUCUGGGCUGCACGCGCGCUACACUGAUAAUGUCAACAAGCUUUACCUUGGCCGAUAGGUCUGGGCAAUCUUCGAACUAUUAUCGUGAUGGGGCUAGAUUAUUGCAACUAUUAAUCUUAAACGAGGAAUUCCUAGUAAGCGCGAGUCAUCAGCUCGCGUUGAUUACGUCCCUGCCCUUUGUACACACCGCCCGUCGCUCCUACCGAUUGGAUUGGCUGGUGAAGCGUUCGGAUUGUGGGUUCGGAGCGGUUCGCCGUUCUGGGCUUGCGAGAAGUUCGUUAAACCCUCCUAUCUAGAGGAAGGAGAAGUCGUAACA
RNAcentral lists this ribosomal RNA (326 nucleotides) under uncultured eukaryote. Its description in RNAcentral is "partial 18S ribosomal RNA". It matches the Rfam family "Eukaryotic small subunit ribosomal RNA", at positions 1470 to 1796 of the family's 1831-position model. The record is from RNAcentral.